GUGGCUCAGUGGUAGAGUGCUUGCCUUGCAUGCAUGAGGACCUGGGUUCGAUUCCUCAGC
Non-coding RNA from Dipodomys ordii (Ord's kangaroo rat), 60 nucleotides. The record is from Rfam. NCBI's taxonomy places the organism in Eukaryota, Metazoa, Chordata, Mammalia, Rodentia, Heteromyidae.